AACGCUAGCGGCGUGCUUAACACAUGCAAGUCGAGCGCGAAAGUCACUUCGGGUGGCGAGUAGAGCGGCGCACGGGUGAGUAACACGUGGGUAAUCUACCUUCGGAUGCGGAAUAGGCCGGGGAACCUCGGGCUAAUGCUGGAUAAGACCACGCAUCUUACGCGGGUGUGUGGGAAAAGCGGGGGACCUCUGCUGAGGCCUCGCGUCUGAAGAUGAGCCCUCGUGGCCAUCAGUCAGUUGGAGGUGUAAUGGUCCACCAUUGCAAAGACGUGGUAGCUGGUCUGAGAGGAUGAUCAGGCACACUGGAACUGAGACACGGUCCAGACUCCUACUGGAUGCAACAGUUGGGGAAUCUUUGCGCAAUGGGCGAAAGCCUGACACAACAGCGCCGCGUGAGUGAUGAUGGUCUUCGGAUCGAACAGCUCUGUCGGUAGGAACGAUGCUGUCACUGGCCAAUACCCGGUGAUUGUGACGGUACCUGCAAAGGAAGCACCGGCUAACUCUGUAGCCAACAGCCGCGGUAAGACAGAGGGUGCAAGCGUUGUUCGG
Molecule: ribosomal RNA, 549 nt
Filed under: uncultured organism
Description: bacterial SSU rRNA
Rfam family: Bacterial small subunit ribosomal RNA
Source: RNAcentral